RNAcentral lists this ribosomal RNA (214 nucleotides) under uncultured bacterium. RNAcentral's name for it is "partial 16S ribosomal RNA". It matches the Rfam family "Bacterial small subunit ribosomal RNA", at positions 1286 to 1500 of the family's 1533-position model. The record is from RNAcentral.
UCCCAGUUCGAAUUNAAGGCUGAAAUUCGCCUUCAUGAAGUCGGAAUUGCUAGUAAUGGCAGGUCAGCAUACUGCCGUGAAUACGUUCCCGGGCCUUGUACACACCGCCCGUCGCACCAUGAGAGUUGGAGAUACCCGAAGCCUGUGAGCUAACUUUUAGAGGCAGCAGUCGAAGGUAGAAUCAAUGAUUGGGGUGAAGUCGUAACAAGGUAGC